UAGCAACCAAGAAAAACUGGAAGCAAUGACCCGUUGUGACAUUUGAUGGACACAAAAAUCUGUCAGCCAGACACAAAAGCAGGUAGUCCUGCGUCUUGUAAAUGGCUCUGGGUGAAUCCAAAGAACUGCAUGUGAUUUGUCAGGCGUUUUUAAGAUAAAUGGUAAAACUGAACUGGAAAUCCAUCUGGCCAGCUGCCUGAUCUAAUGAAUAACCCCACUUUGGCUCCUGCAAUGUAAGCAGAAAGAGUUCUCUCCCGGCCGCUUUCGUCUGUCAUGAAUCUACAAGACAGCCGACAUAAUAUCUGGGCGACAACAGCGUGCUAACAGUGCAGUGACUUCCAUUUUCUUUGCUUUCUAUUGAUUUUCACUUAAUAACUGGCGAAAUACUAAACGUCCGCCCUGAGUACCUAAUAAAUCCUGCCUGAGCUUUUUAUUGAGGAGAAUU
RNAcentral lists this long non-coding RNA (445 nucleotides) under Phasianus colchicus (ring-necked pheasant). RNAcentral's name for it is "lncRNA (ENSPCLG00000004942.1)". The record is from RNAcentral. Lineage: Eukaryota; Metazoa; Chordata; Aves; Galliformes; Phasianidae.